CGGCGGACGGGUGAGUAACGCGUGGGUAACCUGCCUCAUACAGGGGGAUAACAGUUGGAAACGGCUGCUAAUACCGCAUAAGCGCACAGUACCGCAUGGUACCGUGUGAAAAACUCCGGUGGUAUGAGAUGGACCCGCGUCCGAUUAGCUAGUUGGUGGGGUAACGGCCUACCAAGGCGACGAUCAGUAGCCGACCUGAGAGGGUGACCGGCCACAUUGGGACUGAGACACGGCCCAA
Molecule: ribosomal RNA, 238 nt
Filed under: uncultured bacterium
Lineage: Bacteria
Description: partial 16S ribosomal RNA
Rfam family: Bacterial small subunit ribosomal RNA
Source: RNAcentral